GCCCCCGUGGCCUAAUGGUUAAGGCGUGAGCCUUCUAAGCUCGACAUUGCGGGUUCGAGUCCCGCCGGGGGUU
Molecule: transfer RNA, 73 nt
Filed under: Metarhizium robertsii ARSEF 23
Lineage: Eukaryota; Fungi; Ascomycota; Sordariomycetes; Hypocreales; Clavicipitaceae
Description: tRNA-Arg (TCT) (tRNA-Arg-TCT-2-1)
Rfam family: tRNA
About the family: Transfer RNA (tRNA) molecules are approximately 80 nucleotides in length. Their secondary structure includes four short double-helical elements and three loops (D, anti-codon, and T loops).
Source: RNAcentral